UACGUAGGGACCAAGCGUUGUUCGGAUUUACUGGGCGUAAAGGGCGCGUAGGCGGCAUGACAAGUCACUUGUGAAAUCUCCGGGCUUAACUCGGAACGGUCAAGUGAUACUGUCGCGCUAGAGUGCGGAAGGGGCAAUCAGAAUUCUUGGUGUAGCGGUGAAAUGCGUAGAUAUCAUGAGGAAUACCUGAGGUGAAGACGGGUUGCUAGGCCGACACUGACGCUGAAGCGCGAAAGCCAGGGGAGCAAACGGG
This 253-nucleotide ribosomal RNA is filed under the name uncultured bacterium. RNAcentral's name for it is "partial 16S ribosomal RNA". It matches the Rfam family "Bacterial small subunit ribosomal RNA", at positions 524 to 776 of the family's 1533-position model. The record is from RNAcentral.